CAGGCGUGCUCGUUGUGCAUUGUGGGUCUGAUCAUUGCACAUGAUGUACGACCUGCA
Molecule: microRNA precursor, 57 nt
Filed under: Heligmosomoides polygyrus
Lineage: Eukaryota; Metazoa; Nematoda; Chromadorea; Rhabditida; Heligmosomidae
Description: microRNA hpo-mir-5352 precursor
Source: miRBase by way of RNAcentral